CAGCAACACACCAACCACCAUCAGUGCACCAACACAACCAACCCACCAUUCAGACCACAACUAACCACCAUCAGCACACACACCAACCACCAUCAGCACACACCAAACCACCAAUUAGUGACAACCACAUCGCACACACCAACCACCAUCAGCACACACCAACCACCAUCAGCACACACACCAACCACCAUCAGCACACACACCAACCACCAUCAGCGCACACACCAACCACCAUCAGCACACACACCAAUCACCAUCAGCACACACACCAACCACCAUCAGCACACACACCAACCACCAUCAGCGCACACACCAACCACCAUCAGCGCACACACCAACCACCAUCAGCGCACACACCGACCACCAUCAGCACACACACCAAUCACUAUCAGCACACACACCAGCCACCACAGCACACACUAACCACCAGUGCACACCCCAACUUGGAUGAGUCUGAACCCUGGCACACUAAGCACAGGAGUCUUCGUACUAAACGCCUCCACCUACAUGACAUCCUAGCAAAGGUGACACAACAGAGUCAGAAAACAGACCCAUAGCUGCAGGGGCUGGAGGUGGGGAAAGACGGCGAAAGGACACAGCGGCGUUUUCUGGGGUUGGACGCAGAAUUCUGUAAAUUGUGCUGGUGGUUUUGCCACUGUAUAUGUUUGUGAGAAUUCACCAAACGAUACACUCAAAAAGCGUGAAUGAUUUUGUGCAUAAGCUAUAUGUGAAUAAACCCGGCUUUU
RNAcentral lists this long non-coding RNA (746 nucleotides) under Aotus nancymaae (Ma's night monkey). Its description in RNAcentral is "lncRNA (ENSANAG00000038647.1)". The record is from RNAcentral. Lineage: Eukaryota; Metazoa; Chordata; Mammalia; Primates; Aotidae.